AGAGUUUGAUCCUGGCUCAGAUUGAACGCUGGCGGCAUGCCUUACACAUGCAAGUCGAACGGCAGCGCGGGAGCAAUCCUGGCGGCGAGUGGCGAACGGGUGAGUAAUAUAUCGGAACGUGCCCAAGAGUGGGGGAUAACUAGUCGAAAGAUUAGCUAAUACCGCAUACGAUCUACGGAUGAAAGUGGGGGAUUCGCAAGAACCUCAUGCUCCUGGAGCGGCCGAUAUCUGAUUAGCUAGUUGGUGGGGUAAAAGCCCACCAAGGCGACGAUCAGUAGCUGGUCUGAGAGGACGACCAGCCACACUGGGACUGAGACACGGCCCAGACUCCUACGGGGGGCAGCAGUGGGGAAUUUUGGACAAUGGGCGCAAGCCUGAUCCAGCAAUGCCGCGUGUGU
This 398-nucleotide ribosomal RNA is filed under the name uncultured Oxalobacteraceae bacterium. Its description in RNAcentral is "bacterial SSU rRNA". It matches the Rfam family "Bacterial small subunit ribosomal RNA", at positions 8 to 406 of the family's 1533-position model. The record is from RNAcentral. Lineage: Bacteria; Pseudomonadati; Pseudomonadota; Betaproteobacteria; Burkholderiales; Oxalobacteraceae.